RNAcentral lists this transfer RNA (88 nucleotides) under Actinomycetota bacterium. RNAcentral describes it as "tRNA-Pro". Lineage: Bacteria; Bacillati; Actinomycetota. The record is from RNAcentral.
GGGCAGAUAUGACAGCUCUCCCGAAGCAUGCCAUGGACGUCACGUGCUUUGGGCGCACGAGGUCGGGGGUUCGAAUCCCCCCUCCCCG